This 511-nucleotide ribosomal RNA is filed under the name uncultured bacterium. RNAcentral describes it as "bacterial SSU rRNA". It matches the Rfam family "Bacterial small subunit ribosomal RNA", at positions 36 to 518 of the family's 1533-position model. The record is from RNAcentral.
CUCGGGCGGCCGUGCCUAAUACAUGCAAGUCGAACGGUCUUUCUAUGGAAGCUUGCUCCACUGAGAAGAUAGUGGCGAACGGGUGAGUAACACGUGGGUAACCUGCCCAUAAGAGGGGGAUAACAUCCGGAAACGGGUGCUAAUACCGCAUAGUUUUCUUGAUUGCAUGAUUGAGAAAGGAAAGACGGCCUUUGUGCUGUCGCUUAUGGAUGGACCCGCGGCGUAUUAGUUAGUUGGUGAGGUAACGGCUCACCAAGACGAUGAUACGUAGCCGACCUGAGAGGGUGAUCGGCCACAUUGGGACUGAGACACGGCCCAAACUCCUACGGGAGGCAGCAGUAGGGAAUCUUCCGCAAUGGACGAAAGUCUGACGGAGCAACGCCGCGUGAGUGAAAGAAGGUUUUCGGAUCGUAAAACUCUGUUGUCAGAGAAGAACAAGUUGGAGAGUAACUGCUCCAGCCUUGACGGUAUCUGACCAGAAAGCCACGGCUAACUACGUGCCAGCCGCCGC